ACUUAACUGAUGAAAAGAACUUAGUAAAGAACUAGUAUUUAUAUUAGAGAAAUCCUGGCUGGUGAAAAGGAUGAGGACUAGUUGCUUGAAUUACAAUCUUGGAGGUUAGACGUAUGCCUGCGUUAAAGGUUUGAGGUGCAGAAUCGUUGAUUCUGAACUAAGGUGGUACCGCGAUAUAUUCGUCCUUAGA
This 190-nucleotide non-coding RNA is filed under the name Clostridium sp. Its description in RNAcentral is "T-box sequence". It matches the Rfam family "T-box leader". From Rfam's summary of the family: Uncharged tRNA acts as the effector for transcription antitermination of genes in the T-box leader family. The record is from RNAcentral. Lineage: Bacteria; Bacillati; Bacillota; Clostridia; Eubacteriales; Clostridiaceae.